This 492-nucleotide ribosomal RNA is filed under the name uncultured bacterium. RNAcentral's name for it is "partial 16S ribosomal RNA". It matches the Rfam family "Bacterial small subunit ribosomal RNA", at positions 29 to 507 of the family's 1533-position model. The record is from RNAcentral.
AGUGAACGCUGGCGGUAGGCCUAACACAUGCAAGUCGAACGGCCGCACAGUAAGAGCUUGCUCUUACGGGUGGCGAGUGGCGGACGGGUGAGGAAUACAUCGCAAUCUACUUUUUCUUGGGGGACAACGUAGGGCAACUUACGCUAAUACCGCAUACGACCUACGGCUGAAAGCAGGGGAUCUUCGGACUUUGCGCGAUUCAUAGAGCCGAUGUCGGGUUAGCUAGUUGGCGGGGUAAAGGCCCACCAAGCCGACGAUCCGUAGCGGGUCUGAGAGGAUGAUCAGCCACACGGGCACUGAGACACGGUCCAGACUCCUGCGGGAGGCAGCAGUGGGGAAUAUUGGACAAUGGGCGCAAGCCUGAUCCAGCCAUACCGCGUGGGUGAAGAAGGCCUUCGGGUGGUAAAGCCCUUUUGGUGGGAAAGAAAAGCAGCAGGUUAAUACCCCGCUGUUCUGACGGUACCCAAAGAAUAAGCACCGGCUAACUUCGUG